UAAACCGCAACCGGAUCUUAAAGG
This 24-nucleotide non-coding RNA is filed under the name Arabidopsis thaliana (thale cress). Lineage: Eukaryota; Viridiplantae; Streptophyta; Magnoliopsida; Brassicales; Brassicaceae. The record is from RNAcentral.